This 849-nucleotide unclassified non-coding RNA is filed under the name Hevea brasiliensis (rubber tree). Lineage: Eukaryota; Viridiplantae; Streptophyta; Magnoliopsida; Malpighiales; Euphorbiaceae. The record is from RNAcentral.
GAAUGAUUCAGAAAUUGCAAUUGGUUCAACACUUUCAGUAGCAAUAACAGCAUGUGCAGAAGCAUUAAAAUUACAAAAUUUAUAUCCUAGACGAAAACCAUGUUUCCUAUAACAAGUGUCAAUAGUGUAUCUCCGUUUGCCAUAGUAUGUGCAAACCUUAACUGGUCCAGUAUAUUGACCUAUUCCAGUAUAAGGCAUAUUAUUUGAACCAAAUUGCACAUUGUUGGAAUUGAAAUAUUCUCUACCAUAAGAACUAGAACCACUAAAACCACUAUUUUUAGAACUGAUAGCUUUAUUCAAAAAAGCCUUAGAUUCUAUGCCAGGAUUAGACAUUUGUCUUUCUUGCUGAAUUACCUAGGAGAAAACCUUAGUAAUUGAAGGUAGAGGCUCCAUUAACAUAAUCUGAGAUUUAACACUUGCAAAUUAUUCAUUCAAUCCCUUCAAGAAUCUUAUCACAUUAUCACUCUUCACGUACUUUUGAACAGUUGAAAUUGCUCCACUAGAACAUGGUGUAACACAUGAACAAGAAGGAAUUGGAUGAAAAUUAACCAAUUCAUCCCAUUAAAUCUUCAAUUGAGUAAAAUAUUCUGUAACUGAAAGCUCACCUUUUUUGAGAUUAUAGAUCUCUUCCUGUAGAUCAAAGAUUCAAAUGAUAUCUUCUUGUGAAAACCUAUCUUUCAAAUCACUCCAUGCAUCCACUAUCUUAUCAAUCCAAAGUACACUCUGUGCAAUAGAGGGAGAAAGAGACCUUGUAAUCUAAGAAAUAACCAUUGUAUUGCACCUCUUCCAUGUAAAAGAUAUCGGAUCUAUCCUUAUAUGCGUAGGAAGAGAUCUAUCGAUAAAUUGCAG